UCCUCCCCUAUUGAAAUCAAU
Molecule: microRNA, 21 nt
Filed under: Anolis carolinensis (green anole)
Lineage: Eukaryota; Metazoa; Chordata; Lepidosauria; Squamata; Anolidae
Description: Aca-Mir-1677-o1_5p* (star (passenger))
Source: RNAcentral